Salvia splendens (bonfire salvia) is the source of this 1032-nucleotide long non-coding RNA. RefSeq lists it as uncharacterized. The record is from RefSeq and is a predicted model, not a curated record. The transcript has 2 exons. Lineage: Eukaryota; Viridiplantae; Streptophyta; Magnoliopsida; Lamiales; Lamiaceae.
CUCUAAUUUUUUUCGAUUAUUCGGCGGCCGCUUGCGCCCAUAAUUCAUCCGUUGGCUCCUCGUAUUUUCCACCACGAUGUCAAAUAAAUUCCCAAAAUUUAUUUAAGCGCAUAAUUUGAAUUAUCACAACUAUUUCCCUUUUGUUAUGAAAAUUAUAUAUUCUGGACUUGGGAUAAAUUAUUCAUACUUCAAACUUAUUUCGGGAUUUAAUUAAAUAAUUUCGUCACGAUUAAUUAUCGGCCCAAAGAUUUAUUUAAAAGCCCCAAAGCUUAAUUAUUUCCCCACCUUAUAUCUGAAAUUAACAUUUAAAAGCCCAAACAAUUAAAUGGAGUCCAUCUUUAAUAAUUUACCCAAUUUAAAUUAGUGAGGCCCAAUUCCUACUGCCACCAUCUCCACGCCUCUCUCUCUUCUCUAUCUCCCGCCGCCUUCUCCAAAACUCGCGAGAGUCGUCGGUCAACUUCCAAUUCGCGAGAAAUCCGUCGCGUCGACCCUCUCGCCGGCGGUCAGCCUUCCGUCGCCUCUGAUUUAGACAGCAGCGGACCUAGCCGUGCGUCGCCGUCGCUGCUGUGCUGUCUCCUCGCCGGAGUCGCCGUCGCUGCUGCGCUGUCUCCUCGCCCGGUCACCUUUCGCCCGCCUCCGCCGCUGCGUUCCAGACUUAUCCAGCGACGAGGGAGAGUUUCUUCACCGCCGAUCAGUCACUGCGGAAUGCUGCCUCCGCUCUGACUUGCUGCAGCGCCGCCCUCGGUCAGACAUCGCCACCGGUUCGCACAGCUAUCCGAACUCGCCCCGAACAGUUCCGAAACGACCCCUAGCCAGCCCCGAUUGCUAACCCGAAAGAUCACGGAGAAGGAAAAUCUCAUCACGAGGAGGAAAAUCUCUGCACAAUCUUUGACCAAAACUUGAAUUAAUGCAUCUUGGUGACCAAGUCAAUAGGUCGGAAUUAAUUAGAUUAGUUUAAUUCACGGUUAUAUUUUAUUUAAAUUAUACAACCCAUAAUUUAUUUAUCAUGGACUGGAUUUUUUAUAUUAUUUA